GUGCCAGCAGCCGCGGUAAUACCGGCAGCACGAGUGAUGGCCGAUAUUAUUGGGCCUAAAGCGUCCGUAGCUGGCCGGACAAGUCCGUUGGGAAAUCCACCCGCUUAACGGGUGGGCGUCCAGCGGAAACUGUCCGGCUUGGAGCCGGAAGACCUGAGGGGUACGUCCGGGGUAGGAGUGAAAUCCCGUAAUCCUGGACGGUCCACCGGUGGCGAAAGCGCCUCGAGAAGACGGACCCGACGGUGAGGAACGAAAGCCAGGGUCUCGAACCGGAUUAGAAACCCGAGUAGUCC
Molecule: ribosomal RNA, 293 nt
Filed under: uncultured bacterium
Lineage: Bacteria
Description: partial 16S ribosomal RNA
Rfam family: Archaeal small subunit ribosomal RNA
Source: RNAcentral